Molecule: ribosomal RNA, 398 nt
Filed under: uncultured bacterium
Lineage: Bacteria
Description: partial 16S ribosomal RNA
Rfam family: Bacterial small subunit ribosomal RNA
Source: RNAcentral
AUACGUAGGGUGCGAGCGUUGUCCGGAAUUACUGGGCGUAAAGAGCUCGUAGGUGGUUUGUCGCGUCGUCUGUGAAAUUCCGGGGCUUAACUCCGGGCGUGCAGGCGAUACGGGCAUAACUUGAGUACUGUAGGGGAGACUGGAAUUCCUGGUGUAGCGGUGAAAUGCGCAGAUAUCAGGAGGAACACCGGUGGCGAAGGCGGGUCUCUGGGCAGUAACUGACGCUGAGGAGCGAAAGCAUGGGUAGCGAACAGGAUUAGAUACCCUGGUAGUCCAUGCCGUAAACGGUGGGCGCUAGGUGUAGGGGUCUUCCACGACUUCUGUGCCGUAGCUAACGCAUUAAGCGCCCCGCCUGGGGAGUACGGCCGCAAGGCUAAAACUCAAAGGAAUUGACAGGG